UUGCAUUCACCACUAAAUCACUUCGGACCACACAAGUGCUUGGCCAACGCAGCCCUGUUACGGCUAAGCCGAGGGGACAGCCUGCCCCCAGAUGGAUGAAGGAGCUGCCUGUCCGCGGGGAGCUGGCGGGAUUUCCCAUAAGGCUGGGGUUGGCGUCUGUUUCCGUCAACAAAGCACAUCGGCUUCCUACCGCAACCACGAGGAGCGCCCCUCUCUCGCCAGCAAGGAACUACUUCCUCCCCUACUGUGGCUUCAGGAUGAAGAAACAGAGGCACAGAGAGGUUAAGUAACUUGCCCAGGGACACACAGCAGCUGAGUGAUGGAGGGCACCUGACGUCCCAGGACUGCUUCCUGCUGCUGCCCCGCCCCCACCUCAGCUGCGCCCAGAGGAGGAGGAGGGGUCGCUGAAGGAGACCAGGGACUUCUCUACCCGGUGUGAUGACCGCCCAUUUCAGUCCUCAACUUCCAGUCAACAUGGCAUGGGGGGCUGGCGCUGUGGCUUAGCAAGUAAAGCUGCUGCCUGUGGUGCCGGCAUCCCAUAUGGGUGCCGGUUUGAAUCCUGGCUGCUCCACUUCCGAUCCAGCUCUCUGCGGUGGCCUGGGAAAGCAGUAGAAGAUGGCCCAAGUCCUUGGGUCCCUGCACCUGCGUGGGAGACCCAGAGGAAGCUCCUGGCUCCUGCCUUCGGAUCGGUACAGCUCCAGCUGUUGUGGCCAUUUGGGGAGUGAACCAGUGGAUGGACAAUCUCUCUCUCUCCCUCUGCCCCUCUGUAACUCUGACUUACAAGUAAAUAAAUACAAUCUUAAAAAAAGAAAAGAAAAGAAAACUGACCUGAUAAAACUAUGAAAAAAAGAAAAGAAAAGAAAAGAAAAGAUGGCACAGGGAUUCAUGCGGCGCUGACCCUCUGUUCUCCCCAGCAAAAAUCUGGAAAACAGAACAUAAAGGACUCACAGGAGAGCGGAGCUGGAGCCCGAACCCAGAGAGGAGAGCUCUGUGUGCCAGGAGCAGCCAAGGAGCCCAAGUAGGGGGGUCCAGGACCUGCUGCUCUGGGGUCUGGGACAGCAGGGCUGCCUGCAGCUGACGAACUCUGUGCCAGGCUCCAGGAAACCAGUGGCGAGGGGAGGCUCCCUCUGCUUGUGACGGGAGGAAGGAAAAGGGAAAACAGCUCUCUGUUGUGUACAGCCUGCAGCCUGAGAUGUAGGCAGGUGAAAGAAGACAGGCUCUGGACCCGAGCUGAGGCCAGCCCCUCCAGCCACAGGCUUGCAUCUGCAGUGUCCUCCUAGAGACAAGAGAGGGAGGCCCCGAAGUGCUGUCACAGGACUUGGUUUUCAGCUGGGCCUCAGGUCCCAGCUCAGGAUAAGCAGAGAGAGAAAAACAGAUGUAAAAACAAAACAAAGCAAAAAAAAAACGCUCCAACUCACUGUGAGGUUGUAAGCCAAAAUCCAUGUGAAAUGUUUGAUGGUAAGAAAAAAAAAGUCAAUAAAAUCAAUAUUUGGAAUAGGAAUUCACUCCAGAUUAAAUUUACUUUGUGAAAGGCUUCAAAAGAAUUUAAAAAAAUAUAAAGGAUGCUUAAAAGGCAAAGGUUUAAAGUCCACUGGAGAUGAAUAAGGAACAAAAUGAGAACAAGGGAAUAUGGCAAGAACAAAUUAGAAAGCUUAGACAAGUUUGAUUAUUAAAAAUGAAAAGCUACAGUAUGUAAAAUAGACAGAAGACCAAUGAGUUAGAAGAUGGUAUUGAGGAAUUCAUACUCUCAUAUUACACAGGGGCAAAGAUUGAAAAUACAAAGGCAUUUAUGAGGGAGGGCGUGAACAUAUGUCCAGGAGGAGCGACAGAGGAACACAGUGAAGGCAAUGACAGUGAAACAACACAGGAGCACGAAGAAAUACUCAGGAAAUCUCCCUGGGAAGUGUCAGAACGUCGAGGUAAAGAGGAAAACAAAACAAAACAACCCUACAGUAGACCAGAGGAAAAGGCAUAUUAUUUAAAAAGUAACUUUUGUUCUCAGCAAAGUCAGGCCAGAGACAACAGAGAAUAUCUUCCAGGACUUUUAUACCCAGCUAACUUACAGCUAAAAU
Long non-coding RNA from Lepus europaeus (European hare), 2072 nucleotides. RefSeq lists it as uncharacterized. Lineage: Eukaryota; Metazoa; Chordata; Mammalia; Lagomorpha; Leporidae. The transcript has 5 exons. The record is from RefSeq and is a predicted model, not a curated record.